GAUGAACGCUGGCGGCGUGCCUAACACAUGCCAGUCGAGCGGCAGCGAGGGGUGCUUGCACCCUGUCGGCGAGCGGCGGACGGCUGAGUAACGCGUGGGAACGUGCCCCAAAGUGAGGAAUAACUGCCCGAAAGGGUAGCUAAUACCGCAUAUUAUCUUCGGAUCAAAGGAUUUAUCCGCUUUGGGAGCGGCUCGCGUCGGAUUAGGUAGUUGGUGAGGUAAUGGCUCACCAAGCCGACGAUCCGUAGCUGGUCUGAGAGGAUGACCAGCCAGACUGGAACUGAGACACGGUCCAGACUCCUAUGGGAGGCAGCAGUGAGGAAUCUUCCACAAUGGGCGAAAGCCUGAUGGAGCAACGCCGCGUGCAGGACGAAGGCCUUCGGGUUGUAAAAUGCUUUUAUAAGUGAGGAAUAUGACGGUAACUUAUGAAUAAGGAUCGGCUAACUACGUG
Molecule: ribosomal RNA, 451 nt
Filed under: uncultured bacterium
Lineage: Bacteria
Description: partial 16S ribosomal RNA
Rfam family: Bacterial small subunit ribosomal RNA
Source: RNAcentral